CCUACGGGAGGCAGCAGUAAGGAAUCUUCCACAAUGGACGAAAGUCUGAUGGAGCAACGCCGCGUGCAGGAUGAAGGCUUUCGGGUCGUAAACUGCUUUUAUAUGGGAAGAUUAUGACGGUACCAUAUGAAUAAGGACCGGCUAACUACGUGCCAGCAGCCGCGGUAAUACGUAGGGUCCAAGCGAUAUCCGGAAUUACUGGGCGUAAAGCGUGUGUAGGUGGAUUAAUAAGUGUGAUGCGAAAUCCGGCGGCUCAACCGUUUGGACUGUGUCGCAUACUGUUAGUCUAGAGGACGGCAGAGGUAAGUGGAAUUACGGGUGUAGCAGUGAAAUGCGUAGAUAUCCGUAGGAACACCAAUGGCGAAGGCAGCUUACUGGGCCACACCUGACACUGAGACACGAAAGCGUGGGGAGCGAACAGGAUUAGAUACCCUGGUAGUCCACGCCGUAAACGAUGCAUACUAUUAGUAUGGGGUAUCGACCCCUGUGCUGAGAAGCUAACGCGAUAAGUAUGCCGCCUGGGGAGUACGAGCGCAAGCUUAAAACUUAAAUAGAAUUGACGG
RNAcentral lists this ribosomal RNA (563 nucleotides) under uncultured bacterium. RNAcentral's name for it is "bacterial SSU rRNA". It matches the Rfam family "Bacterial small subunit ribosomal RNA", at positions 338 to 916 of the family's 1533-position model. The record is from RNAcentral.